Molecule: ribosomal RNA, 253 nt
Filed under: uncultured bacterium
Lineage: Bacteria
Description: partial 16S ribosomal RNA
Rfam family: Bacterial small subunit ribosomal RNA
Source: RNAcentral
GACGUAGGGGGCAAGCGUUGUCCGGAUUUAUUGGGCGUAAAGAGCGUGUAGGCGGCCAUACAGGUCAGCUGUGAAAACUCGAGGCUCAACCUCGAGACGUCGGUUGAAACCGUAUGGCUAGAGUCCGGAAGAGGAGAGUGGAAUUCCCGGUGUAGCGGUGAAAUGCGCAGAUAUCGGGAAGAACACCCGUGGCGAAGGCGGCUCUCUGGGACGGUACUGACGCUGAGACGCGAAAGCGUGGGGAGCGAACAGG